AUUGAACGCUGGCGGCAGGCCUAACACAUGCAAGUCGAACGGUAACAGGAAGAAGCUUGCUUCUUUGCUGACGAGUGGCGGACGGGUGAGUAAUGUCUGGGAAACUGCCUGAUGGAGGGGGAUAACUACUGGAAACGGUAGCUACUACCGCAUAACGUCGCAAGACCAAAAAGGGGGACCUUCGGGCCUCUUGCCAUCGGAUGUGCCCAGAUGGGAUUAGCUAGUAGGUGGGGUAACGGCUCACCUAGGCGACGAUCCCUAGCUGGUCUGAGAGGAUGACCAGCCACACUGGAACUGAGACACGGUCCAGACUCCUACGGGAGGCAGCAGUGGGGAAUAUUGCACAAUGGGCGCAAGCCUGAUGCAGCCAUGCCGCGUGUAUGAAGAAGGCCUUCGGGUUGUAAAGUACUUUCAGCGGGGAGGAAGGGAGUAAAGUUAAUACCUUUGCUCAUUGACGUUACCCGCAGAAGAAGCACCGGCUAACUCCGUG
RNAcentral lists this ribosomal RNA (490 nucleotides) under uncultured bacterium. Its description in RNAcentral is "partial 16S ribosomal RNA". It matches the Rfam family "Bacterial small subunit ribosomal RNA", at positions 30 to 507 of the family's 1533-position model. The record is from RNAcentral.